GAACGAAGGAAGCAUGGUAAUGUGCACAUAAGUUGAUUUAGGUUUCUAGAAUGUCCUCCCUGAUGCCUUUCCGCUUUGUUUUGGGACAUGGUUCCGCAACAAAAUG
Molecule: small nucleolar RNA, 106 nt
Organism: Rhododendron vialii
Lineage: Eukaryota; Viridiplantae; Streptophyta; Magnoliopsida; Ericales; Ericaceae
Product: small nucleolar RNA snoR100
Exons: 1
Source: RefSeq, a predicted model, not a curated record